RNAcentral lists this ribosomal RNA (157 nucleotides) under Malus domestica (apple). RNAcentral's name for it is "rRNA MD09G0225300". It matches the Rfam family "Eukaryotic large subunit ribosomal RNA", at positions 2825 to 2978 of the family's 3401-position model. Lineage: Eukaryota; Viridiplantae; Streptophyta; Magnoliopsida; Rosales; Rosaceae. The record is from RNAcentral.
GAUAACUGGCUUGUGGCAGUCAAGUGUUCAUAGCGAUGUUGCUUUUUGAUUCUUCGAUGUUGGCUUUUCCUAUGAUUAUGAAGCAAAAUUCACCAAGUAUUGGAUUGUUCGCCCACGAAUAGAGAACGUGAGCUGAAUUUAGACCAGCAUUUUGAUC